UAGAGUUUGAUCAUGGCUCAGAUUGAACGCUGGCGGCAGGCCUAACACAUGCAAGUCGAGCGGUAGAGAGAAGCUUGCUUCUCUUGAGAGCGGCGGACGGGUGAGUAAUGCCUAGGAAUCUGCCUGGUAGUGGGGGAUAACGUUCGGAAACGGACGCUAAUACCGCAUACGUCCUACGGGAGAAAGCAGGGGACCUUCGGGCCUUGCGCUAUCAGAUGAGCCUAGGUCGGAUUAGCUAGUUGGUGGGGUAAUGGCUCACCAAGGCGACGAUCCGUAACUGGUCUGAGAGGAUGAUCAGUCACACUGGAACUGAGACACGGUCCAGACUCCUACGGGAGGCAGCAGUGGGGAAUAUUGGACAAUGGGCGAAAGCCUGAUCCAGCCAUGCCGCGUGUGUGAAGAAGGUCUUCGGAUUGUAAAGCACUUUAAGUUGGGGGGAAGGGUUGUAGAUUAAUACUCUGCAAUUUUGACGUUACCGACAGAAUAAGCACCGGCUAACUCUGUGCCAGCAGCCGCGGUAAUACAGAGGGUGCAAGCGUUAAUCGGAAUUACUGGGCGUAAAGCGCGCGUAGGUGGUUUGUUAAGUUGGAUGUGAAAUCCCCGGGCUCAACCUGGGAACUGCAUUCAAAACUGACUGACUAGAGUAUGGUAGAGGGUGGUGGAAUUUCCUGUGUAGCGGUGAAAUGCGUAGAUAUAGGAAGGAACACCAGUGGCGAAGGCGACCACCUGGACUGAUACUGACACUGAGGUGCGAAAGCGUGGGGAGCAAACAGGAUUAGAUACCCUGGUAGUCC
Molecule: ribosomal RNA, 794 nt
Filed under: uncultured bacterium
Lineage: Bacteria
Description: bacterial SSU rRNA
Rfam family: Bacterial small subunit ribosomal RNA
Source: RNAcentral